RNAcentral lists this ribosomal RNA (253 nucleotides) under uncultured bacterium. RNAcentral describes it as "partial 16S ribosomal RNA". It matches the Rfam family "Bacterial small subunit ribosomal RNA", at positions 524 to 776 of the family's 1533-position model. The record is from RNAcentral.
UACGUAGGGUGCAAGCGUUAAUCGGAAUUACUGGGCGUAAAGCGUGCGCAGGCGGUUGUGUAAGACAGAUGUGAAAUCCCCGGGCUCAACCUGGGAACUGCAUUUGUGACUGCACGGCUGGAGUGCGGCAGAGGGGGAUGGAAUUCCGCGUGUAGCAGUGAAAUGCAUAGAUAUCGGGAGGAACACCAGUGGCGAAGGCGACUACCUGGCCUGUUCUUGACGCUGAGGCGCGAAAGCUAGGGGAGCAAACGGG